UACGAAGGGGGCUAGCGUUGUUCGGAAUUACUGGGCGUAAAGCGCACGUAGGCGGACUGUUAAGUCAGGGGUGAAAUCCUGGAGCUCAACUCCAGAACUGCCUUUGAUACUGAUGGUCUCGAGUCCGGAAGAGGUGAGUGGAAUUCCGAGUGUAGAGGUGAAAUUCGUAGAUAUUCGGAGGAACACCAGUGGCGAAGGCGGCUCACUGGUCCGGUACUGACGCUGAGGUGCGAAAGCGUGGGGAGCGAACAGG
This 253-nucleotide ribosomal RNA is filed under the name uncultured bacterium. RNAcentral's name for it is "partial 16S ribosomal RNA". It matches the Rfam family "Bacterial small subunit ribosomal RNA", at positions 524 to 776 of the family's 1533-position model. The record is from RNAcentral.